Molecule: transfer RNA, 78 nt
Filed under: Thermoplasmata archaeon
Lineage: Archaea; Methanobacteriati; Thermoplasmatota; Thermoplasmata
Also listed under: 2 other names
Description: tRNA-Arg
Rfam family: tRNA
About the family: Transfer RNA (tRNA) molecules are approximately 80 nucleotides in length. Their secondary structure includes four short double-helical elements and three loops (D, anti-codon, and T loops).
Source: RNAcentral
GGGCGCGUAGCUCAGCAUGGACAGAGCGACGGCCUCCUAAGCCGUAGGUCGCGGGUUCAAAUCCCGCCGCGCCCGCCA